RNAcentral lists this unclassified non-coding RNA (339 nucleotides) under Hevea brasiliensis (rubber tree). Lineage: Eukaryota; Viridiplantae; Streptophyta; Magnoliopsida; Malpighiales; Euphorbiaceae. The record is from RNAcentral.
GCUAUCCUCCAAUUGGAAAUCCGGGUAAGCUUUCCCACCUUAUUCUCUUCUAUAAGCUUUCUUUUUAUUCAAUUUGAUCAACUGAAAUGGGGAGCCCUUUUCCUCUAUUGAUUCUCUCAACUCUACUAAUAAUAGAUGCUAAAGAGCUUUUCUAUUUGGGGGUCACUUUACACGUUGCUUAGGCUCAUUUCUUUUCGCUUCUGACAUAUUUUUAUGAUAGACAUUCAGAUUUAAUAGAUGCAGACAUAUGCAUACUUGCAUAUGGGUAGGUUUCCCCUGUUAAUGAUCGUUGUUUCUUUUUCAAUACUUGAAAUAGACUGUUAAGAAGAUGAUAAAGAG